AUACGGAGGUUGCAAGCGUUACUCGGAAUCACUGGGCGUAAAGCGCGCGCAGGCGGCUUGAUAAGUUGGAUGUGAAAGCCUACGGCUCAACCGUAGAACUGCAUCCAAAACUGUCAGGCUAGAGUCUGGGAGGGGAAGAUGGAAUUAGUUGUGUAGGGGUAAAAUCCGUAGAGAUAACUAGGAAUACCAAAAGCGAAGGCGAUCUUCUGGAGCAGUACUGACGCUGAGGCGCGAAAGCGUGGGGAGCAAACAGGAUUAGAUACCCCAGUAGUCC
RNAcentral lists this ribosomal RNA (274 nucleotides) under uncultured bacterium. Its description in RNAcentral is "partial 16S ribosomal RNA". It matches the Rfam family "Bacterial small subunit ribosomal RNA", at positions 523 to 796 of the family's 1533-position model. The record is from RNAcentral.